RNAcentral lists this unclassified non-coding RNA (230 nucleotides) under Hevea brasiliensis (rubber tree). The record is from RNAcentral. Lineage: Eukaryota; Viridiplantae; Streptophyta; Magnoliopsida; Malpighiales; Euphorbiaceae.
GCAGCAAAGUUGAUUCACCAAAGUUGCACUUGGAUCUAGAAGGAAUUCUGCCACAAUUAUCUUAACUAAUAAUUGCAAGCACUUGCAAAGAAAAUUUUACAGGGAUUUCUAAUUGCCUAUAUUAGCAUAAAAGCUUUUUGGCCAGACUCCAUAUUCUAAUCACUAAAAAUUCCAAUAUUAAAACAUUACAGAUGAACAAACAAAACCUUCAGACUAGGCAAAAAUUUGAC